CAAAAAAUAGUUUAAUAAAAAUAAUAAUUUUGGGAAUUAUAGAUAAUUUGUAAAAAUUUUUUUUGA
This 66-nucleotide transfer RNA is filed under the name Melipona fasciculata. RNAcentral describes it as "tRNA-Pro". The record is from RNAcentral. Lineage: Eukaryota; Metazoa; Arthropoda; Insecta; Hymenoptera; Apidae.